RNAcentral lists this ribosomal RNA (507 nucleotides) under uncultured bacterium. RNAcentral describes it as "bacterial SSU rRNA". It matches the Rfam family "Bacterial small subunit ribosomal RNA", at positions 32 to 508 of the family's 1533-position model. The record is from RNAcentral.
AACGCUGGCGGCGUGCCUAAUACAUGCAAGUCGAACGAAACUUUCUUACACCGAAUGCUUGCAUUCACCGUAAGAAGUUGAGUGGCGGACGGGUGAGUAACACGUGGGUAACCUGCCUAAAAGAAGGGGAUAACACUUGGAAACAGGUGCUAAUACCGUAUAUCUCUAAGGAUCGCAUGAUUCUUAGAUAAAAGAUGGUUCUGCUAUCGCUUUUAGAUGGACCCGCGGCGUAUUAACUAGUUGGUGGGGUAACGGCCUACCAAGGUGAUGAUACGUAGCCGAACUGAGAGGUUGAUCGGCCACAUUGGGACUGAGACACGGCCCAAACUCCUACGGGAGGCAGCAGUAGGGAAUCUUCCACAAUGGACGCAAGUCUGAUGGAGCAACGCCGCGUGAGUGAAGAAGGUCUUCGGAUCGUAAAGCUCUGUUGUUAGAGAAGAACACGAGUGAGAGUAACUGUUCAUUCGAUGACGGUAUCUAACCAGCAAGUCACGGCUAACUACGUUU